This 77-nucleotide transfer RNA is filed under the name Candidatus Asgardarchaeum californiense. Its description in RNAcentral is "tRNA-Pro". It matches the Rfam family "tRNA". Rfam says of the family: Transfer RNA (tRNA) molecules are approximately 80 nucleotides in length. Their secondary structure includes four short double-helical elements and three loops (D, anti-codon, and T loops). Lineage: Archaea; Promethearchaeati; Candidatus Asgardarchaeia (ex Tamarit et al. 2024); Candidatus Asgardarchaeales (ex Tamarit et al. 2024); Candidatus Asgardarchaeaceae. The record is from RNAcentral.
CGGGAUGUAGCUCAGCUUGGUAGAGCAUUCGCUUUGGGAGCGAAAGGUCCAAUGUUCGAAUCAUUGUAUCCCGACCA